CCUACGGGAGGCAGCAGUGGGGAAUAUUGCACAAUGGGCGUAACCCUGAUGCAGCGACGUCGCGUGAGUGAAGAAGUAAUUCGUUAUGUUAAGCUCUAUCAGCAGGGAAGAAAAUGACGGUACCUGAGUAAGCAGCCCCGGCUAACUACGUGCCAGCAGCCGCGGUAAUACGUAGGGGGCAAGCGUUAUCCGGAUUUAUUGGGUGUAAAGGGAGCGUAGACGGCAGUGCAAGUCUGGAGUGAAAGGCGGGGGCUCAACCCCCGGACUGCUCUGGAAACUGUACGGCUGGAGUGCGGGAGAGGUAAGUGGAAUUCCUAGUGUAGCGGUGAAAUGCAUAGAUAUUAGGAGGAACACCAAUGGCGAAGGCAGCUUACUGGACUGUAACUGACGUUGAGGCUCGAAAGCGUGGGGAGCAAACAGGAUUAGAUACCCCUGUAGUC
Molecule: ribosomal RNA, 440 nt
Filed under: uncultured bacterium
Lineage: Bacteria
Description: partial 16S ribosomal RNA
Rfam family: Bacterial small subunit ribosomal RNA
Source: RNAcentral